Molecule: non-coding RNA, 525 nt
Organism: Paramuricea clavata
Lineage: Eukaryota; Metazoa; Cnidaria; Anthozoa; Malacalcyonacea; Plexauridae
Source: the annotation of a GenBank genome assembly
UUAAAGAUGUGGUAAAGUCCGUUCUGCGCAUAUAUUCUGCGCAUCAAAACAUUCCAUCAGUGGGGGAGCAACCUUUGGAAUGUUGUUAAUAUUUCGCUCUUUCCGAACUUUCUUGAAUUGAAUCUCUAGUCUGUAUUCAUUUACAAACAUAACGAACCAGAAAAGUGUUAAAAAUUCAGUAUAAUAUAUAUCUAAUCAUAUUUUACAACUGUAGCAGUGAGUUCAAAAUGUAAACAAAGCGUUUGUUUACAUUACGGACUUUACAUCACCUUUAAUAGAUUAAAAUAAUUCAAACAUGCAACUGAUUUAUUGUCCCGUAGUUUAAAGUACUAAACAAUGUUAAUAGAUUAAAAUAGUUCAAACACUAAUUGUUCUACCAGUACAACCGUUCAUCAAGUCUCCAGAAUGUUUUUGUAUUUCAAAUGCUUCGACGUAUUUCCUCUACCCGUCGUUCACGAUAUUGGCAUGUAAAAUCUUCCACUUUAUUGUAGGUAACUUUGAUUUCUUGUGGGAUUCCAAAUGUUU